RNAcentral lists this ribosomal RNA (500 nucleotides) under Escherichia coli. RNAcentral's name for it is "bacterial SSU rRNA". It matches the Rfam family "Bacterial small subunit ribosomal RNA", at positions 1 to 490 of the family's 1533-position model. The record is from RNAcentral. Lineage: Bacteria; Pseudomonadati; Pseudomonadota; Gammaproteobacteria; Enterobacterales; Enterobacteriaceae.
AAAUUGAAGAGUUUGAUCAUGGCUCAGAUUGAACGCUGGCGGCAGGCCUAACACAUGCAAGUCGAACGGUAACAGGAAGAAGCUUGCUUCUUUGCUGACGAGUGGCGGACGGGUGAGUAAUGUCUGGGAAACUGCCUGAUGGAGGGGGAUAACUACUGGAAACGGUAGCUAAUACCGCAUAACGUCGCAAGACCAAAGAGGGGGACCUUCGGGCCUCUUGCCAUCGGAUGUGCCCAGAUGGGAUUAGCUAGUAGGUGGGGUAACGGCUCACCUAGGCGACGAUCCCUAGCUGGUCUGAGAGGAUGACCAGCCACACUGGAACUGAGACACGGUCCAGACUCCUACGGGAGGCAGCAGUGGGGAAUAUUGCACAAUGGGCGCAAGCCUGAUGCAGCCAUGCCGCGUGUAUGAAGAAGGCCUUCGGGUUGUAAAGUACUUUCAGCGGGGAGGAAGGGAGUAAAGUUAAUACCUUUGCUCAUUGACGUUACCCGCAGAAGAAG